This 253-nucleotide ribosomal RNA is filed under the name uncultured bacterium. RNAcentral's name for it is "partial 16S ribosomal RNA". It matches the Rfam family "Bacterial small subunit ribosomal RNA", at positions 524 to 776 of the family's 1533-position model. The record is from RNAcentral.
UACGUAGGGGGCUAGCGUUGUCCGGAAUCAUUGGGCGUAAAGAGCGUGUAGGCGGCCCGGUAAGUCCGCUGUAAAAGUCAAAGGCUCAACCUUUGAAUGUCAGUGGAUACUGCCGGGCUAGAGUCCGGAAGAGGCGAGUGGAACUCCUGGUGUAGCGGUGGAAUGCGCAGAUAUCAGGAAGAACACCAACGGCGAAGGCAGCUCGCUGGGACGGUACUGACGCUGAGACGCGAAAGCGUGGGGAGCGAGCAGG